Bactrocera dorsalis (oriental fruit fly) is the source of this 593-nucleotide long non-coding RNA. RefSeq lists it as uncharacterized. The record is from RefSeq and is a predicted model, not a curated record. Lineage: Eukaryota; Metazoa; Arthropoda; Insecta; Diptera; Tephritidae. The transcript has 4 exons.
ACAGCGACUCUGACAAUCCUCGUGAACGAGGGGGGCAUCGACAUCAGCCUAAUACAGGAGCCCUGGGUCAAUGAAGAUUCCAUAAAAGGGCUAAACAGCAGCAAUUAUAACCUGUUUUACACACGGAACAGAGCACAGCAGAUAUCACAGUGGUGAAGGUGGAACAGAUGGAAAAGCCCUUCUUCUUGGUCUCGGCCUACUUGGCCCAUGACGAAGACAUACCACCGGCCCCGCUCACCAGGCUAGUAGAGGAGAACAAGAAGGAUGAUGUCCUAAUAGAGUGUGAUGCAAAUGCAAGGCACACCGUAUGGGGUAGCUCCAGUAUAAACACCAGGGGAUCUUGAGGCGUUGAUGUAUCAAGUAGAAAAGGACAGGUUCAACAGUCUUACCAAGUUUUCAAUCUAAUGGUAGACAACUCUCGCGGUAAAAUGCCUUCAACCUUUAUACCAUCAUCUGCUAGACGUUCCGUCCCAAACGGCUACUUGGAUUCAGAGUUCAAGAUGGACGUGGACAUGCCUACAAUUCCAACUCCAACUGUUCGGUCGGCCAGCAACGGGGCACGUAUUGGGCCUACUCCUCCGCCCCGCUCAACC